This 30-nucleotide ribosomal RNA is filed under the name Cercospora canescens. RNAcentral's name for it is "partial 28S ribosomal RNA". The record is from RNAcentral. Lineage: Eukaryota; Fungi; Ascomycota; Dothideomycetes; Mycosphaerellales; Mycosphaerellaceae.
GUGACCUCGGAUCAGGUAGGACCCCAAUCC